AGUCGAGGGGUAUAGGUUUUCGGACCUAGAGACCGGCGCACGGGUGCGUAACGCGUAUGCAAUCUACCUUUCACAGAGGGAUAGCCCAGAGAAAUUUGGAUUAAUACCUCAUAGUAUAACGACUCGGCAUCGAGAUGUUAUUAAAGUCACAACGGUGAGAGAUGAGCAUGCGUCCCAUUAGCUAGUUGGUAUGGUAACGGCAUACCAAGGCGACGAUGGGUAGGGGUCCUGAGAGGGAGAUCCCCCACACUGGUACUGAGACACGGACCAGACUCCUACGGGAGGCAGCAGUGAGGAAUAUUGGACAAUGGGCGCAAGCCUGAUCCAGCCAUGCCGCGUGCAGGAUGACGGUCCUAUGGAUUGUAAACUGCUUUUGCACAGGAAGAAACAACUCUACGUGUAGAGUCUUGACGGUACUGUGAGAAUAAGGAUCGGCUAACUCCGUGCCAGCAGCCGCGGUAAUACGGAGGAUCCAAGCGUUAUCCGGAAUCAUUGGGUUUAAAGGGUCCGUAGGCGGUCUUAUAAGUCAGUGGUGAAAUCUCCCCGCUCAACGGGGAAACGGCCAUUGAUACUGUAGGACUUGAAUUAUUAGGAAGUAACUAGAAUAUGUAGUGUAGCGGUGAAAUGCUUAGAGAUUACAUGGAAUACCAAUUGCGAAGGCAGGUUACUACUAAUGGAUUGACGCUGAUGGACGAAAGCGUGGGUAGCGAACAGGAUUAGAUACCCUGGUAGUCCACGCCGUANACGAUGGAUACUAGCUGUUGGAAAGCAUUUCAGUGGCUAAGCGAAAGUGAUAAGUAUCCCACCUGGGGAGUACGUUUCGCAGAAAUGAACUCAAAGGAAUUGACGGGGGCCCGCACAAGCGGUGGAGCAUGUGGUUAAUUAGAUGAUACGCGAGGAACCUUA
This 906-nucleotide ribosomal RNA is filed under the name uncultured bacterium. RNAcentral describes it as "bacterial SSU rRNA". It matches the Rfam family "Bacterial small subunit ribosomal RNA", at positions 60 to 973 of the family's 1533-position model. The record is from RNAcentral.